GGACGAACGCUGGCGGCGCGCCUAACACAUGCAAGUCCAACGAGCGAGAGGAGGUUUACUUUCUCAAGCGAGUGGCGAACGGGUGAGUAACGCGUGAGGAACCUGCCUCAAAGAGGGGGACAACAGUUGGAAACGACUGCUAAUACCGCAUAACCCCACGACCCGGCAUCGGGUAGAGGGAAAAGGAGCAAUCCGCUUUGAGAUGGCCUCGCGUCCGAUUAGCUAGUUGGUGAGGUAAUGGCCCACCAAGGCGACGAUCGGUAGCCGGACUGAGAGGUUGAACGGCCACAUUGGGACUGAGACACGGCCCACACUCCUACGGGAGGCAGCAGUGGGGAAUAUUGCACAACGGGGGAAACCCUGAUGCAACGACGCCGCGUGGAGGAAGAAGGUCUUCGGAUUGUAAACUCCUGUUGUUGAGGAAGAUAAUGACGGUACUCAACAAGGAAGUGACGGCUAACUACGUGCCAGCAGCCGCGGUAAAACGUAGGUCACAAGCGUUGUCCGGAAUUACUGGGUGUAAAGGGAGCGCAGGCGGCAAGACAAGUUGGAAGUGAAAUCCAUGGGCUCAACCCAUGAACUGCUUUCAAAACUGUUUUUCUUGACUAGUGCAGAGGUAUGCGGAAUUCCCGGUGUAACGGUGGAAUGCGUAGAUAUCGGGAGGAACACCAGUGGGGAAGGCGGCGUUGUGGGCACCAACUGACGUUGAGGCUGGAAAGUGUGGGGUAGCAACCAGGAUUGGAUACCCGGGUAGUCCACACUGUAAAAGAUGAUUACUAGGUGUUGGAGGAUUGACCCCUUCAGUGCGGCAGUUAACACAAUAAGGUAAUCCACUUGGGGAGUACGACCGCAAGGUUGAAAUUCAAAGGAAUUGACGGGGGCCCGCACAAGCAGUGGAGUAUGGGGUUUAAUUCGACGCAACGCGAAGAACCUUACCAAGUCUUGACAUCCCUUGACGAUGCUGGAAACAGUAUUUCUCUUCGGAGCAAGGAGACAGGUGGUGCAUGGUUGUUGUCAGCUCGUGUCGUGAGAUGUUGGGUUAAGUCCCGCAACGAGCGCAACCCUUAUGGUCAGUUACUACGCAAGAGGACUCUGGCCAGACUGCCGUUGACAAAACGGAGGAAGGUGGGGAGGACGUCAAAUCAUCAUGCCCUUUAUGACUUGGGCUACACACGUACUACAAUGGCGUUAAACAAAGAGAAGCAAGACCGCGAGGUGGAGCAAAACUCAGAAACAACGUCCCAGUUCGGACUGCAGGCUGCAACUCGCCUGCACGAAGUCGGAAUUGCUAGUAAUCGCAGAUCAGCAUGGUGCGGUGAAUACGUUCCCGGGCGUUGUACACACCGCACGUCACACCAUGAGAGCCGGGGGGACCGGAAGUCGGUAGUCUAACCGCAAGGAGG
RNAcentral lists this ribosomal RNA (1403 nucleotides) under uncultured organism. RNAcentral describes it as "16S ribosomal RNA". It matches the Rfam family "Bacterial small subunit ribosomal RNA". The record is from RNAcentral.